This is a long non-coding RNA of Haemorhous mexicanus (house finch), 652 nucleotides long. RefSeq lists it as uncharacterized. NCBI's taxonomy places the organism in Eukaryota, Metazoa, Chordata, Aves, Passeriformes, Fringillidae. The transcript has 3 exons. The record is from RefSeq and is a predicted model, not a curated record.
CCCCGCGCGAAUCGCCGCCCGCUGCGGCGGCGGUGCCUCCCCCGCAUGUGCUCCCGGGUGUGUCCCCUCGGGGACGGCCGGCGUCCCCCACCGCCGACCCAAGAAAGGCGAGCGCCGGCCGGGGGCGAGGAGCCGGCCCGCUACCGGGCGAGCGGGGAGGAAACUCCGGCGGGCGGCAGAGGCGCUCCCGGGCGGGCGGCGGGGCGAUCCCGCCCGCGGGGCCGGGGGGAGGCCCCGCUCCGCCCGGGGUAGCGCGCAGUGCUCGCCCGGAACCUUGUUGCCACGGGAGACGGGCGCUUUACGGCAGCGCAUUUGAACGGCGGCGAGGGAAAAGUUGCGCCCGCAGGACUCAGCGAGAACCAACAGCUGCACCGCCGUGACGCCGUUCCCACCGUGCGCGAAGUCUGCCGCACUCGGGCUUUCCUUGGUCAUACUUCCCUGUUUUACAGAGAGGAGGAGAGGUAUAAAAUUCUGUGCCUUAACGAAUAAAAAGAAGAGAACUGUUUUUCACGGAUAAUUAAUAAGCAACCUCUGUUGUACUUAAUAAACUUAUUUAAUGUAUAUAAAAAUUUAAACCAUCAAACACUUGCGCUAUUUAUUUACUCUUGCUUUUCACUUCAGGCAAUAAAAUAAUUUAGUAAGUUUGCUUCUA